UCUGGCCUUUGGACAGUUGUGGUGUCACAGC
RNAcentral lists this non-coding RNA (31 nucleotides) under Rattus norvegicus (Norway rat). Lineage: Eukaryota; Metazoa; Chordata; Mammalia; Rodentia; Muridae. The record is from RNAcentral.